CAGCCGCCGCGGUAAUACGAAGGGGGCUAGCGUUACUCGGAAUGACUGGGCGUAAAGGGCGCGUAGGCGGAUGGCACAGUCAGAUGUGAAAUUCCCGGGCUUAACCUGGGGGCUGCAUUUGAUACGUGUUGUCUAGAGUGAGGAAGAGGGUCGUGGAAUUCCCAGUGUAGAGGUGAAAUUCGUAGGUAUUGGGAAGAACACCGGAGGCGAAGGCGGCGACCUGGUCCUUUACUGACGCUGAGGCGCGAAAGCGUGAGGAGCAAACAGGAUUAGAUACCCCUGUAGUCCCUGUCUCUUAUAC
This 301-nucleotide ribosomal RNA is filed under the name uncultured bacterium. Its description in RNAcentral is "partial 16S ribosomal RNA". It matches the Rfam family "Bacterial small subunit ribosomal RNA", at positions 509 to 807 of the family's 1533-position model. The record is from RNAcentral.